RNAcentral lists this ribosomal RNA (253 nucleotides) under uncultured bacterium. Its description in RNAcentral is "partial 16S ribosomal RNA". It matches the Rfam family "Bacterial small subunit ribosomal RNA", at positions 524 to 776 of the family's 1533-position model. The record is from RNAcentral.
UACGUAGGGUGCAAGCGUUACUCGGAAUUAUUGGGCGUAAAGCGCGCGCAGGCGGUCCUUUAAGUCUGAUGUGAAAGCCCACGGCUCAACCGUGGAGGGUCAUUGGAAACUGGGGGACUUGAGUGCAGGAGAGAAGAGUGGAAUUCCACGUGUAGCGGUGAAAUGCGUAGAGAUGUGGAGGAACACCAGUGGCGAAGGCGGCUCACUGGCUCGAUACUGACGCUGAGGUGCGAAAGCGUGGGGAGCAAACAGG